GAAUCACGGUAUGAUGGUAAGUACGCUAUUGACAUGAAUAAACAGUACAAUAAGAGUCUGGGAUUGUAUCACAGUUUAUCAAUGAACCGCUUAAUCGCUGACUAACCGACUAACCGACUUAACUAAUCGCUGACGUUUUGACCGCGUACUGGACACUACUUACAACAUCACAGUACUUACGGAAAUGACCAUAAUUAAGUUUUGAUAGGGUACAACAACCGUUCGAAAGGUUAUAACGGGUAAACGAAAAACUGCAUAUUGUUUCACCCCAAGCUAACAACUUUCAGUUGUACGCCUGAGGACUCUCCACUGCUAAAUACAGUAUAAUGCUAACGGCGAUGAUUGGAUUUUGAAUGGGCACAAAAAACAUCUGAAAUUUGGCACGGUUUAUUGGCAAACCGUAUACCCUUUCAUCACUGGCUAACAUGUUUUUGAUUGCUUACUGGACUCUCAGACGCUAAUUACAGUAUAACGCUAACAACUUUCACUUGCACACCUCAGGAUGGUGAUUUCAUUUUGGAUGUUUGAUGUUUCACCGUUUGAUCUCCAAGCAAACAUGUUUUUGAUUGCACACCGAACCUUCAGACACUAAUCACGGUAUAACGUGUUAACCCGGACUCUCCCUGCUCAUUAGUCAUGUAAACGACAUACUCUACGGGAUCUGUACCUUCAAGGACGUUUGCUUGCAUCAGACCACUUCCAGAACCUUCAGGGCCACCAAAGUGCGGAAAAGACAUAGAGGCAAGGAUCUCGUAGCUGUUUAAAGUUUUAACAAACAACAAAAAAACCCCAGCGCUUCCCCCGGAAAAAGAAAAAAACCAAUAUGCACCGGAGACCAGAAGUGGAAGCGCUUGUGAAUGUUUCAUAAGGCGCUGAAGCCUGGAGGAUAAGCGAAGCUGACAUUGAGAGCGAUGCGGCGCAAGACGACAGAAUGCAAGAAUUUAAGCGACCGCGUCGCCAGCUUGAGGUCCAUCAGUUGCAGUCUUUUCUGAGCAUAUGAAAAAUAUUGGUGUCCUUUCAAGCAAAUAAGUAGGCCCUGUCAGACUGCCAUUCAUUAUCUUGCCACAGCCUAUGAGAAGGCAUGAUAUGCCGCUUUAUGUAUGUAUGCUACGUAUUUGCUUUUCCUUCUCUCGCACUCACAUAUCAGCACUUAAUACGCAGCUUUGUUGUUUUUAACCGGUUUCCCGUGUCAAAGCAUAAAGAACUGGGUCAAGGGUCAACGAUACAGUAAUGUCAAACACAACAUACAUAUAAAACCUUGAUUCUUUUGCAUUUUUUCAUCCAAUCAUCUUCAAACUUGGUGCACAUAUACUAGAAACUUUUGGGGGGUGACUGACCUUGACAUUAAGGAUAUCGCCUUGGUCAAAGUUGACCAAUACCAGGGUGACAAAGUUGCUUGAAAUGUUCCCCAAAUCUUUGAAGUGAACACACCAUACUGGCUCAUUCAAAAAUUUCUCUUUGAGACGAACUAGAACAAAGAUUUGACCGUUUGACUGGAAUGGAACUGGAGCCAGAGAUGUUAGUGACUUCACAACCAAGCCCUCUCAGUCUACCAUUCAUCCUGACUAAGUGGAAGAUAACGUAUGAUAUGUCGCCUUUCUCACACUGGCAACCCAGCAUCCAAAUACUUCAUACUCCCAUGUAACAACACAGUACAUUAACGUUGGUAAUGAUAUCGUUGAGUACCUUGAUUGUAAAAGGUUCUUUGCAAUGCUUUUAAUUGAUUGGCCUUUGACAUCUUGUUGACAUCUUGUUAAACCGGCUUUAGAAAAUUCUGAUACUGCUGUUGGUUGGUUUUAUAACUGUUUGUCAGGUAGAAAUCAGUGUGUACACUUUGCUGGUCAGUCUUCCUCCUUUCUUCUGAUAACUAAAGGAGUACCCCAAGGCUCUGUUUUAGGUCCAUUGCUGUUUUCUAUUUAUGUGAACAAUCUUUGUCAAAAUGUAUUGAACGCCUCUUUUCAUUUUUAUGCAGAUGAUACAGUCAUCUACUGCUCCUCUCCUUCAAUUGACAAAGCCUUUGACUUCUUCCAGUCUGCAUUUGAUGCUGUUCAGUCACAUCUAAAACAGCCUAGGCUGGUGUUAAAUGCAGACAAAUCUAAAGUUAUGGUUUUCUCAAAUGGAAAACGGCUACACUCUCAGCUCCCUAACAUCAAAACAACUAAAGGGAAAGAAAUUCAAAUUGUCACAUCAUACGUUAUUACUGACGAAAAACUGUCCUUUAAACAACACAUUGAGCAUCCUGUACGUAAACUGAAGCUAAAACUCGAUUUCUUCUUCAGAAAUAAAUCUUGCUUCUCAUUUUAUACAAGAAAGCAUUUAAUGUCUGCUACUUUUUUUACCUUUGCUGGAUUAUGGUGACCUUCUUUUUAUGAACGCAUGUAAUCAUCUUUUAAAAAAGCUAGCCAAUGUUUACCACUCUGCCUUACGCUCCAUGACUGGCCAUGGCAUCGGUGGUCACCAUCGUACUUUGUAUGCUGCAGCUGAGUUUCCAUCCCUGUACGUUCUGAGGUGGACUCAUUGGCUGGUUUUUAUCCAUAAAUGUAUUCUUGGGCUCCUACCAUCUUACCUUUGUAGAUACAUGCACAAAUACCAACAACAGUAUGUU
This is a non-coding RNA of Doryrhamphus excisus (bluestripe pipefish), 2605 nucleotides long. The record is from RefSeq and is a predicted model, not a curated record. NCBI's taxonomy places the organism in Eukaryota, Metazoa, Chordata, Actinopteri, Syngnathiformes, Syngnathidae.